This is a non-coding RNA of Equus caballus (horse), 7562 nucleotides long. The record is from RefSeq and is a predicted model, not a curated record. Lineage: Eukaryota; Metazoa; Chordata; Mammalia; Perissodactyla; Equidae.
UAAUCCUCAUGCCAAAGAGACAUAACUUGGGGUGGCCAAUUCCAGACCCCUACAAGGUCAAAAGGGAAGAAAGAUAUAACCAACCACAUGUUGUCUUCUGCCUGGUAGUGACAUGCAUCAUUUCCAUUGACAUGUCAUUGGCCAGAAUGAGCCACAUGGCCAGGCUGUAUAUUCAGGGAGUGGGAAAGUAUAAUCCUACGCCCAUAAGAUGCAGAGACUAUUUGUGACCAAUAAUGCAAUUUACCUGGGUACAUGGGAGCUGCUCUUCGCAGAACGGUGUGUCCUAAGUAACGCAAUGUGACUAUGGCACUGAAAUACUCGAGUCCAAUCAAAAUGACCAGUGGAGAAGAAAAGAGUCCUCCGAAAACCUAGAGCCAAAGCCAAGACCACAUCAAAAUGACCCCAGCUAGGCAAAUCUGAAAGAAGAAGUAGUUUAGCAGGAAGAACAUAGUCUGCACGGAGGCUGGAAAAGUCCAGGUGGGAGGGUUGUAAAACAUGAAUGUCACCAUCACGACUCGGGAGACAAAGGGUUCUAAUCAUUUGGCAAGAGCAUCCUGGUGCACUUGGCAAGCAUGUUUUUGCCAUGGUGAUAUCUAUAAGACGGGGUUAUAAUAAGGCAUACCUCUUAGAGUUGGUCAUGGAACCAUUAAAUGAUAUAAUGAUUGUGAUGAGCUCAGCACAGUGCCCAGUCCAUAUUACGUGCUCAUUAAAUGCUACAUUAUAUAGACAUAGAUGUGAAUAUAGAUAUAGAUAUAGACACAGGUAUGGGCAUAGACAUGGACAUAGAUAGAGAUAGAGAGAGAUAAAAUUCUCCAUCACAUUCAGGGUCUGGACCCUGCAAGGCUGUGAGCGUCAGACCCCAACUGGACCUGGUGCUGCCCUCCAUCAUAAUGUGGCAUGGCCUAGAGCCCUCACAUCUGUAUGGCACUUUAAUAUUUCCACAGUACGUUCUCAUCCAUUUUUUUCCCACUUAAUCCUUGCAAGUCCAUGAAGUGCAGGAGUCCACAGCUUGGAAUCCAACUCCAAACUCCAAAGCUGGCUUCACCUGAAGCCUGUGGGCUCCAAAUUCUAUGUUUUCUCCAAUGAAAUCCUGCCUGAAGCAGAGUUCUGACCACCUGCUUUGAUCUGCCUCUCUCUCUCUUCAAUAGUUACUUCAAAGGGACAAUAUUUGAAAAAUAAUGAUACUCAACUACCCUAUUUUUCAUUCAGGGUAUGUGUCUUCCUCUCAACUCUCUGACGUGUCCAACCCAGGACGUGACUGGCCUUGACAUGUCCAACCCAGGACGUGACCGGCCUUAGGUGGUUUCGGUCCCUGUUCUGGGCUCCAUAUGCCCUGGCACAGAAGGCUGAGCCUGCUUCUCAUUGUAACAAGGUUGCGCUAAUUAGCUGCAUUUGAUUUUGCAUAUGGAGAGAAAUGCAAAUGAAUGCAAAGCAGUAUGCAAAUUAGCAACAUCCUGGCUCUCCAAAAGAACGAGCCUGCAAUACUGAUGUCAUGACAAUGUAUAUUAAUGGUCCAUCUCACUAAGGCAUGUUACUUUCUUCAAAAGGGGCAGGAAUCUGGGGUUUUCUUUUUUCUGAAAUAAUAGCGACUUUAUAUUGAAUUCCAAGUUUAUGAUCCUUGACAAGAAGUCUGUUGGCCACAAUGCUAUGUUCUCUAUAGAAGAUCGAGUUUGCUGGAAAGAGACACUGGCUUGGGAGCUGAGCCAUAUAGAUUGUGGCUCAAAGUCCUGCUCUUUGCCUGGGCAAACAACCUGAGUCUCAGUCUCCUCAGCUAUAAAAUGGAGUUGACCAAUCUACCACAUUUGGAGCUGUUGGUAAGGACUAAAUGAGAUAACGUUUAAAGUCACCUGACAUACAACAGGUGCUCAGUAACUCACUGUUCACUCCCUCUCCACACUCAUCCCUUCCUCCUUUGGGAGACUGGAUUGGCAAAUAAUGGGGCUAGAGGGCUCAUCUCCUAGUCCUUGUCUGCCCUGCAUUGCUUGUCAUUCCAUUUAAUGCAUUUUUCUAAUACAAACCUGUGCCACAGCCCAGCCAUUUUUAACAAAGAACUAUAGGACCUUUUAGAGUCCUCCAAAAAUGAAUAGAUGACUCUAUCCCGCUCCCCAAAGUAACACCCACCGAAAAAUAGCAACUAUUCUUACAAAGCCUCUUCUGUCAUCCACCCUUCCCCAAGCUGCCGAAUUCCUCGACUUUCAGGAUUUAGUUCAAGCACUGCUGUAUCCUGGAAGCCUUUCACGGGGCCCCUGAAAGACUAGUUGCUCCCCUCUGCCCUCUGUGCUCCUGGACACCCCGUGGCCCCUCCACAUCCGCGUUCUGUUACUGCAGCUUGACUUAUCUUCCUCUCUAAAUAGACUGGACGUUUCUCCAUGACAGAGACUAUCUCUUAAUCAUCUUUGUGUCCUUAGCCCAUGGAGCAGGGCCUGGCAUGGGGAAGGUGAUCAGUAUGUGCAGGAGGGAGAGGGAAGGGACAAGGAGAAGAAGGGAGGGAAGGAAGGAAGGAGGAGGCAAGGAAAGAAGCAUCCUCAUAUUUCACUGGAGCCAAGCACACCCAUACAUACAGUUACUCACAACAAAACCCUGAUUAAAAUCAGACGCAUUCUGGAAAUACAUGAACACCUGAACUGGGUCCCUGGUACCCAGCCUCAUCUCAGAGCAGAAUGAGAUCACAGGGACACAAAUCUGCUUUCAGGCAGAGACCUCCCUCCCAGGCAGGCAGUGUGGGGACAGAGGGCUUUCUGUUUAGGGCACCAUGUCUCCCAGACCAGCCUCAUCCACUCAGAAUUGAUGAUCUGAACAGUCUGACCAUAUGUUGAAGAUUCAUAUUCUGUAACCGGAGCCUCUAGCUGAAGCAAACUAAAGAAAUGGCUGUUGUUCAAACUGCCUGCCCCCCAUGCAUGGGGAGGGCACACAUACACACACAGCCACCUACAUGUGCAGGCAUGUUCAUAUGUGUACACAGACCCACCUUCACACGAGACAAACACACAUACUUAGAGGCACACAUCUAGAGCUGCUCACAGGCAACAGACACACACUCUGAGAUUAGCUUUAUCUUCCUCUUUUGUUCCAAACACCCACACGCAGACGCUGCUCUUGAUGAUUAUUGGCACUUCUGAAACUCCACAGACGGAAUGUGUGAAGACGGCCCCAGAAUGCACCACCUGCUCCACCUGCCCAAGCCCACAGCAGGGCCUCUUAGGGCUCCACUCCUCGGAGUGGCCCAUCCUCCUUUGGGGGCUGUUAAUAAAUAAACUUCAGGGCCAAAAGGCGGAGGUGUCAGCCGAGUGACCUGGAAGACCUCCAGGAAGGAAUCUAUUUACCACCUCGCCAGCAUUUUCUCAUGGCGGCUUUUGAGAGAGUUCUCACUUCGAAGGUGAAGAAACUGAGAGAUGGAGUGAGCUGCCUGAGGCUGUGCAGAUACCUGGCCACAGAAUCAGAAUUGAGGCUGUGCCACAGCUGCCCGAUCCUCGGCCCAGGCUGGCUCCGCUGCUCUGAGCUCUUUGCAAAACAAACUCAGGAAAACAAGUCCAAAGAUCUAGGGUGAAUCUUCUCAGCACCAGAGGAUUCUGAAAACUCCUCCACAAGGGCAUGAGGGAGGCACAGGCAUUGCCCUCCCCUGGGGUGAGAUCAAAGGAUGUCAUUGGCCCUGCUGCUGGCAGAAAACUCAGUGGAGGGAGGAAAGGGCAGAAGAAACUGAGGAGUGAUUGAAGGAGAAAGAGAAAGGGCAGGGAGAAAGAGAAAAAGGAGGGAGGGAGAAAGGAAGGAAGGAAGUAGGGAAGAAUGGCAGGGAGGGAGAGAGGAAGGAAGGGUAGCGGGCAGGCAGGCAAUCUACCUCAGAGGAAGAGUGCGUUCUCCAUGGAAACAAAAGUGCCUGUUUGUCUUAAGAUGCCCCUAAAGAGGAAAAUUGUAAAUCAUUUCCACCCAGGAGACCAGGAUGAUUGCCCAGGCUUUGACAGCUGAAUUCAAAAAGCCCUCCUAUCGUUCACGGUAGACCCCGUGGUUCCCACUUAGGCCAGGGGCUACGGGGGCUGUUAAAAAAAGGUAGGUCUCACACAUUCUAUUUUCUCUUAAACAUUCCUUUUAGACAAAUAAUAUUCAGGGGUCAUUUUAUCUCUUCCUCCAUCCUCGAUUGCAAAGAAAACAAGAGAGGGAGGGAUGGUGAAAGGGAGGGAGGGAGAGAGAAACUAAGAAACAGAGAGCUUUGGGCAAAACUGACACCUGCCAUGACACCAAGAAGGAUCUUGCAUCCAGGCAAGGGAGCUGGAGGUGGACGGACUGAAUCUGAAGGUCAACAGUGUUUGUUUCAAGCGACGGGGCCUGGGAAAGCUACUACUCAGCCUCUGACCCUCUUAUCCGGGAAUGAGAGGUAAUGAGCCCCAGUCUGGUGGGGUGGCUGCAAAGACUUACUGAUCUACGGCUUCCGUGAAAGAACUUGGUGGAGGGCCAGGUGCCUAGCAAGACUGCAUAAAACUCUAUUCCUUCCUUCCCUUCUGGCACUAUUGUUGCAUAAUAAUUACCUCAAAACAGUGGCUUAAAACAACGAGCAUUUAUUAUCUCACGGUCUCUGUGGGUCAGGAAUUUGGGGGGCCUUAUUUGGGAGAUUCUCCCACUUGAGCCUCUCCAAGAGCUGCUUGAGUGUCCUCACAACAUGGCAGUGGGCUUCCCCAGAGCAAGUGAUCCAAGACAGGGCAAGGAGGAAACCAUUAAGUCUUUCAUGAUCUAGCCUGGGAAGUCACACAUCCUUACUUCCACCGUAUUCUAUUUGCAAGAAAUUAGCUUCCACCUUUUAAGGUGGUGAAUGUCCAAAAAUUUGUGGACAUAUUUUAAAGCCACAAAGUUCAGGCCUCCGAACAAUGGUUUUGGAAAGCUGUGCAUCACUGUGGCAGGGCCCCACACCCACCUGCCUGCCUGUUUCUACCUGCCUAUCUCAGAGACCACCGAGAUCUGUCUGAAACCUGCAGCAGCCUUUGAGGCACAGGAAUAUUUACUUAAGGUAAAGUAAUAUUUGUCAUGAGAACAAUAUAAUAACAUUCUUUGCAUGUGUAAAAAUAUUGUAUUCUUUCACAGUCCUUAUAACUCAUUUGAUUGCCCCUGAAACCACGUGAGGGAGAUUCAAGGGGCAUUAUUACCCCCAUUUUAGAGAUGAGGAAACUGAGGCACAUGAGGCCUAGAAUGUCUGCAGUAAUCAUAGCUAGUAUUUAUUUACCCCCUAAUGUAUACAGGGACGGCUUUAAUUAAUUUAGGCUCCUGGGAGCCCAACAGGCAGCUUCAGCACAUAACGUAUUAUUUUGGUUUGCAAACACAAUGUUUAAAAAACUAUUUUUUGAUCUGAAAGCUUUAUGGAGGGCACGUGUAGACCACAUCUGCCCACCUGUCUUCACCAGGCCCACUUGCCUGGCCUCUGAAGGCAUUUGAGUUCAGAGCCUCGUUUGUAUAUAACAGGUUACUGGACCUUCAAAUGCUCCUGUGAGAUGCUCUCUAGCUGACGGGAUAUUGAGGAUCAAGGAGGCUCAAUGACUUGCCAUAAGUCACACAGCUGCCAAGCAGCAGUACCGGGAAUCGAAUUCAGGUUUGAUUCCAAGUCGCAUGCUGUCUCCACAGAGCGUGCAGAACACGCCCCAGAAUAGUGCCAUCCUGACCCCUCACCAAGGGUUCUGAGCCUCCCCCCCCAUCCUGAGGGGCAUCUCCUCAAAUUCCCCAGGGUGCCCGGCCACCUGUCAUCCCUUGUGCCCUCCGGCAGUGGCCACAGUCCAAGAGGAAAACAGUUGGUUUGUUCGGAAAAUCAGUCUCGUGGGCCGCUCCUACAAAACACCAACAGUUAACACUUACUGAGCACUUACUGUGUGCCAGGCCGACUCGCUUCAUUAUCUCAUUGAGUCCUUACACAGCAGGAAGGGCACCAUUACUACUCCCAUUUUCCUGAUGAGGAAGCUGGUGAUUUCCAUGAGUUGGUCAUUUGAGCUGGGCUCAGCUAGGAAGUUUUUCUGCUCACAGGGGUGUAGACUGGACUCAUACAUUUGCAGCCAGUUGGUGGUCAGCCAGAGGCCGGCUGGUCCUGAUGGUCUCGCUCGCAUAUCUGGUGGUUGGUCCUGGCUGGCAGUUGGGUCCUCUUUCCAGAGCCUCCAGUAGGUAGUGCAGGUUCCUUGACAUGAUGUCAGAAGCAUUCCAAAAGAGUGAAGGCAGAAAUGGCAAGGCCUCUAUAAUUCGUUCCAAGUCACUGUUUCCACGAUCUGUUUGUCAAAACGAGUCACAAAGCCAACGCAGAUGAAAAGGGAUGGGAAAACAGAUUCCACCUCUGGAUGGAAGGAGCAGCAGAGUGGGACUACAUAACAGGAUGGGAGGAAUUGGUGGCCAUGAAACAAUCUACCGCAUCUGCCACCACUAUACAUGGUCCCUUCCUUUCCUUCUCUUCAGAAUUCUGCUUGUGUCUUUUGAUUACUUUUGGACCCCAACUGGAACAAUAUAUACCAUUACUUAUGACGUCAUACCAUUCCUAUCCUUCUUCAGACAGCUUUUUAUACUUAACGUUAUGUUUUUGAGAUUCAUCCCUAUUUACUACAUGUAGCUCUCGUUCAUUUAUUUUCACUCCUCUACAAUACUCCUUGUAUGAGUUUAUUUGGUCCACUCUCCUGUGGAUGGACAUUUAGCUUAGCAGUUUUAUACAAUUACAAAUACGACGUUUCUCCUUGCACAUGAGAGUUCUCUAGGGAGUAUAAUUAGGAGUAGAGUUGCUGUAGUGUAAUACUGCCAAAUUACUCUCCAAAGUCAAUAUAGUCUUUAAUAGAACAAAUAGAAUUUGAGAGCUGAACGAAGUUGAAAAACCGGGUUCACCUUACGUUGUGCAAUUAGCUGUGUUUUGAAGAACCGUAGCAAUGUCUGGUUGGAAUGCACCUCCCACCCAAUAUAAGAAUCCUUUCAACAGUGUUCCCAGGAGAUGGUCAAACAAUCCUUGCUUUAACUCCUGAAAAUACACAGGGGAAGCUUGUUCCUCUAACUGUGAUACCCUCUGCAGAGCAAGAAUAAUUUUGGAAAAAGAAUAAUCCUUUCAUCUUACAGCACAGCCGAAGCCCGGGAUGCGUGGCCAAAGGAAGAAGGAGCAAGAGAUGAUGAAGGAGGAAUAGAGUCCUGAGUGAGCACCUACAAUGCACUAGACACCAGGAACAGAUUCAGAGGAUUUGUAGGCGAAGCACCAAGGCAACCUUCUGACUGGGGAUCUUAUGACACAGAUGUUGAUACACGGAAUGUGCAAGUGUGGAAGAUUCUCGCUGGACUGCGAUGCCUCCAUCCAACACGUAUUUAUUGCUCCGUCGGUGUGUGCAGGUCUGGAGGCCAGAGAUCAAGGUGUCGGCGGGCCGUGCUCCCACCGAACCUGUGGUGGGGCCCUACGAAGAGAGACGCCAGGGAUUCACGUACACAGAGAAAAGACCAUGUGAGGACACGGUGAGAAGGUGGCUAUCUGCAAGCCAAGGAGAGAGGACUCAAGAGAAAGCAGCCCUGCGGACACCUAUCUUGGACUUCUAGGCUCCAGAACUGAGAAAAUAAAUUUCUUUUAAGCCCCC